Molecule: non-coding RNA, 74 nt
Organism: Paramuricea clavata
Lineage: Eukaryota; Metazoa; Cnidaria; Anthozoa; Malacalcyonacea; Plexauridae
Source: the annotation of a GenBank genome assembly
CUGUAUGUAACUCAGUUGGUUAGGAGCGCUGCACCAGAAUUGCGGGGCCGCAGGUUCGAUUCCUGUCAGGGAGC